GCAAAUUACUUACACCACCGRSYGRRAWYRGCACUGCAAGAGGGGGGGGCGAGGAAAUACAUAUCAUAAGCGGAGGAAAAGAAACCAACAGGGKAUUGCCUCAGUAACGGCGAGUGAAGCGGCAACAGCUCAAAUUUGARAUCUGGCCYCYGUGCGGGGUCCGAGUUGUAAUUUGARGAGGAKGCUUCUGGCAAGGUGCCUUCCGAGUUCCCUGGAACGGGACGCCGCAGAGGGUGAGAGCCCCGUACGGUUGGACGCCGAGCCUCUGUGAAGCUCCUUCGACGAGUCGAGUAGUUUGGGAAUGCUGCUCAAAAUGGGAGGUAAACCCCUUCUAAAGCUAAAUACUGGCCAGAGACCGAUAGCGCACAAGUAGAGUGAUCGAAAGAUGAAAAGCACUUUGAAAAGAGAGUUAAAAAGCACGUGAAAUUGUUGAAAGGGAAGCGCUUGCGACCAGACUCGCGCCCGUCGGAUCAGCCGUCGCUCGCGGCGGUGCACUCCGGCGGGCUCGGGCCAGCAUCAGUUCGUUGGGGGGGAGAAAGGCGGCGGGAAUGUGGCUCCACGGAGUGUUAUAGCCCGUCGUGUAAUACCCCCUGGCGGACUGAGGACCGCGCGUAUGCAAGGAUGCUGGCGUAAUGGUCGUCAGCGACCCGUCUUGAAACACGGACCAAGGAGUCGUCCUAAUAUGCGAGUGUACGGGUGUCAAACCCCUGCGCGUAAUGAAAGUGAACGGAGGUGAGAGCYUCGGCGCAUCAUCGACCGAUCCUGAUGUUCUCGGAUGGAUUUGAGUAAGAGCAUAUUGGGCCGGACCCGAAAGAAGGUGAACUAUGCCUGUGUAGGGUAAAGCCAGAGGAAACUCUGGUGGAGGCUCGCAGCGGYUCUGACGUGCAAAUCGAUCGUCAAACAAUGGGCAUGRGGGGCGAAAGACUAAUCGAACCUUCUAGUAGCUGUUUCCGCCGAUCCCCCCCCCUGAAGAAAAAAUCGAUGAAAACAGGUUCUGAUAAGGCUUCUAUCCACCUUCUCUCCCUCUUGACAAUGUAUUUACAAUGAAUAUCGCGUUCGAACUCCCCUACGAGCUUCCAGCUGUUUCUCUCGCUCUUACUACCAGGCAUUGGUUUCUUGGCUUGCAGGUUCGUCAUUAUGCCUUUCUCUAACUCAGGAGUCGGAGGUAGAAUCAAGGCCUGACUCUAUUAUCGCACCGGGGCRYUGACCUURGMWUAAGAAAGCCUAGUCGUAUUAGCGACGGAGAUCAUGCA
This 1253-nucleotide ribosomal RNA is filed under the name Microascus restrictus. RNAcentral's name for it is "LSU rRNA". It matches the Rfam family "Eukaryotic large subunit ribosomal RNA", at positions 1 to 1116 of the family's 3401-position model. The record is from RNAcentral. Lineage: Eukaryota; Fungi; Ascomycota; Sordariomycetes; Microascales; Microascaceae.